This is a long non-coding RNA of Calliphora vicina (urban bluebottle blowfly), 545 nucleotides long. RefSeq lists it as uncharacterized. Lineage: Eukaryota; Metazoa; Arthropoda; Insecta; Diptera; Calliphoridae. The transcript has 3 exons. The record is from RefSeq and is a predicted model, not a curated record.
UCUACAUAAACUAAUCAUAAAAAACAUUCUGUAAUUAAUUGAAAUUAUCGACAGUUAAUUUUUGGAAAAAUGUUUAAACAACUUUGUGCCUUACUCCUAAUUACGGUUUUAGUGGUUGAGUUUCACACAGUAAAAUGUGGAAUUUUACAUCGAGGUAAUUGUGAAUUUCUGUCGCUUGAUGGCAGAAGAUGUGUGGAAACAUUCACAAAAAAUGACUUAAAUAGAAAGUUUGUUCAAAUAACCCCAUUUAAAAAGCUGGAACCUAGUAAUUUUAAAAAUGAUGGUAAAAAGAAUACAGCCGCAUUUAAAAAGACGAAUGUUAAAAAUGCAGAUAAUUCAUAUGUUUUACCCUGGUAUAGUACAAUUAGUAACUGGUUUUCUUAAAUCGGACACCAAUUAAAUGUUAUGAAAUGUUUUUACACGUCAUUUUCAACAAAAUUCUUUAUGUAAACUUUAUAAAACUGUGUAAAUAAGAAUGAAAUUUAAAACAAAAAUCGCUUAAUAAAAUUUUAGAAAAAUCUAAGCUGAACCCAAAAGUUAAUAAA